UACCCCGCUGAACUUAAGCAUAUCAAUAAGCGGAGGAAAAGAAACUAACAAGGGAUUCCCCUAGUAACUGCGAGUGAAGCGGGAAAAGCUCAAAUUUAAAAUCUGGCGGUCUUUGGCCGUCCGAGUUGUAGUCUGGAGAAGUGCUUUUCCGCGCUGGACCGUGUAUAAGUCUCUUGGAACAGAGCGUCAUAGAGGGUGAGAAUCCCGUCUUUGACACGGACUACCAGUGCUUUGUGAUGCGCUCUCAAAGAGUCGAGUUGUUUGGGAAUGCAGCUCAAAAUGGGUGGUGAAUUCCAUCUAAAGCUAAAUAUUGGCGAGAGACCGAUAGCGAACAAGUACCGUGAGGGAAAGAUGAAAAGCACUUUGGAAAGAGAGUUAAACAGUACGUGAAAUUGCUGAAAGGGAAACGCUUGAAGUCAGUCGCGUCGGCCGGAACUCAGCCUUGCUUUUGCUUGGUGCACUUUCCGGUUGACGGGCCAGCAUCGAUUUUGACCGUCGGAAAAGGGCUAGAGUAAUGUGGCACCUCCGGGUGUGUUAUAGACUCUAGUCGCAUACGGCGGUUGGGAUCGAGGAACGCAGCGCGCCGCAAGGCAGGGGUUCGCCCACUUUCGCGCUUAGGAUGCUGGCAUAAUGGCUUUAAACGACCCGUCUUGAAACACGGACCAAGGAGUCUAACAUACCUGCGAGUGUUUGGGUGGAAAACCCGAGCGCGUAAUGAAAGUGAAAGUUGGGACCUCUGUCGUGGAGGGCACCGACGCCCGGACCUGACGUUCUCUGACGGAUCCGCGGUAGAGCAUGUAUGUUGGGACCCGAAAGAUGGUGAACUAUGCCUGAAUAGGGUGAAGCCAGAGGAAACUCUGGUGGAGGCUCGUAGCGAUUCUGACGUGCAAAUCGAUCGUCCAAAUUUGGGUAUAGGGGCGAAAGACUAAUCCAACCCCCUUAAUAGCUGGUUCCUGCCGAAGUUUUCCCCUCAGGAAA
Molecule: ribosomal RNA, 978 nt
Filed under: Tropicoporia centrali-africana
Lineage: Eukaryota; Fungi; Basidiomycota; Agaricomycetes; Polyporales; Polyporaceae
Description: eukaryotic LSU rRNA
Rfam family: Eukaryotic large subunit ribosomal RNA
Source: RNAcentral